RNAcentral lists this long non-coding RNA (1461 nucleotides) under Manacus vitellinus (golden-collared manakin). RNAcentral describes it as "lncRNA (ENSMVIG00005003445.1)". Lineage: Eukaryota; Metazoa; Chordata; Aves; Passeriformes; Pipridae. The record is from RNAcentral.
GUGCUGGGUGACAGAGCGUGUCCUUUCCACACGGGGGUGCUCCAUAAGCCUUGUUCUCCCCCUGUCCAAGCCCUCUCCCUUCUCCCUCCUCUCUCUCCAGCUGGAACUACCCCAGACCCCAACUGCCUCCACCCAUGACCUGCUCUGGUGUAGAAUCUCCCUGUUUCUUUCCUCUCUGCUGCUGACUCACUCCUUUCCUACUCCACAGGCCGGUUCUUUGAUGAGAAUGAAUCCCCUGUGGACCCCCAGCAGGGUUCUAAACUGGCAGAUUAUAAUGGGGAUGAUGGGAACGUGGGUGAGUAUGAGGCAGACAAACAGGCUGAGCUGGCUUACAAUGAGGAAGAGGAUGGUGAUGGUGGAGAAGAAGACGUCCAAGAUGAUGAGGAGCGAGACCUGCAGAACGACCUGGGGGACUACAAGUCCCGCUUCAGCGACGGGGUCCUGUAGGCCCGGGGCACAGAGAGCCCAACCCAAGGACUUGAGGUGCUGCAAAACUGAACCAGUUCUACUCCAGUGUAUCCUACUUCCAAGGAAGCUGAGAAUAAAGUGCCGAGUGUGCUCAGCCAGCAGGUGAAGAGGAGCCACUGUACAUAUGUACAUACUUGUACUGCUGCAGGUUGUAUUAAACCAGCAUUGUCACAUGGAGCCGGUUACUCAGCCUGGUCCUUAUCUGAAAUAAUCUUUACACUUAAGCCCAGUCUAUAAACACAGGCUGAACUGUUUCUGCCAUUUACAACACUUUGGAACCUGGAGGACUUGUACAGUUUGUACCUGAUGUAACAAAGCUGCUGUGGAAGCCAUGUACAGCCAAGGACUCCUUUUCUACAGUCCCACCUGUGUGGGCAGAACUGCUUCUCCCGAGUGCUGGGUUUGUCCAGCAGGUGAGCCACGAGCUGGGAAUGAGAACUGAACGGUUCAAUAGCUGCUCCCUCCUCACUGUGACCCAGGCUGGGGCAGCCCUCGGCACCACUGAGCUCCUGUACAGUGACCACAUCUCAUAGCUAGAGCUGCAAAUCUAUAGUAGGACUUCAGUAAUUUGGUUCAUCCCCAAAAGGUUGUGCAACUAAUAGCUUGAUUUAAAAGAUAUAAAUUGAUAUAAAUUGGUAUAAAUAAUUAUAAAUAAUUCACAGCUUGUAGGAAAUCUUUGUGUUAAAGACAGCAAGGGUGUGAGUGAGACACGUCUGUCUGCCCUCGACAGAAGGACCAGCCCCUCCUGGGUUUGCUGCUGGUGUGCUGUCCCAGGUUGUCCAGCCCAGGUCCAGCCACUGCAGCCCAUUUCCAGUUUGAUCCUUGCUACACAACUGUGAACACCUGCCACGUCCCACAGUCUGGUUUUCUCCAUCAGAUCUGUAAGUCAGACCCUUUUCUGUGUUCUGUGUUUAAGUACCAUCAGAAUUUAUGGAGAUGAUUCCAUGACUCUGCAGUGUGGGAAUAAAGGGGAUUGUCCUGCCUGCUCCUCCA